GCUGACUUGGCUUAGUGGUUGAGCUGGGAGGUGUACAUAGUGUAUCUAUGUAUGCCCUGGGUUCGAAUCCCAGAAGUCAUGUA
This 83-nucleotide transfer RNA is filed under the name Laccaria bicolor S238N-H82. Its description in RNAcentral is "tRNA-Und (NNN) (tRNA-Und-NNN-7-1)". Lineage: Eukaryota; Fungi; Basidiomycota; Agaricomycetes; Agaricales; Hydnangiaceae. The record is from RNAcentral.